RNAcentral lists this ribosomal RNA (855 nucleotides) under uncultured Actinomycetes bacterium. RNAcentral's name for it is "bacterial SSU rRNA". It matches the Rfam family "Bacterial small subunit ribosomal RNA", at positions 30 to 901 of the family's 1533-position model. The record is from RNAcentral. Lineage: Bacteria; Bacillati; Actinomycetota; Actinomycetes.
UGAACGCUGGCGGCGUGCUUAACACAUGCAAGUCGAACGAGGUCCAACCUUCGGGUGAAGACCGAGUGGCGAACGGGUGAGUAACACGUGGGGAACCUGCCCUUCUCUCUGGGAUAACUCCGGGAAACCGGAGCUAAUACCGGAUACUCCUUGCGGACCGCAUGGUCUGCUCGGGAAAGCUCCGGCGGAGAAGGAUGGCCCCGCGGCCCAUUAGCUUGUUGGUGGGGUAACGGCCCACCAAGGCGACGAUGGGUAGCCGAGCUGAGAGGCUGAUCGGCCACACUGGGACUGAGACACGGCCCAGACUCCUACGGGAGGCAGCAGUGGGGAAUCUUGCGCAAUGGGCGAAAGCCUGACGCAGCAACGCCGCGUGCGGGAUGAAGGCUCUCGGGUCGUAAACCGCUUUCAGCAGGGAUGAAAAUGACAGUACCUGCAGAAGAAGCCCCGGCUAAAUACGUGCCAGCAGCCGCGGUAAUACGUAUGGGGCAAGCGUUAUCCGGAUUCAUUGGGCGUAAAGCGCGCGUAGGCGGCUUGUUAAGUCAGGCGUGAAAUCCGGGGGCUCAACCCGCGGCUUGCGUCUGAAACUGGCAGGCUUGAGUCUGGUAGAGGAAAGUGGAAUUCCUGGUGUAGCGGUGAAAUGCGCAGAUAUCAGGAGGAACACCAGUGGCGAAGGCGGCUUUCUGGGCCACGACUGACGCUGAGGCGCGAAAGCUAGGGGAGCGAACAGGAUUAGAUACCCUGGUAGUCCUAGCCGUAAACGAUGGGCACUAGGUGUGGGGGGUCAUCGACUCCCUCCGUGCCGAAGCUAACGCANUAAGUGCCCCGCCUGGGGAGUACGGCCGCAAGGCUAAAACU